Long non-coding RNA from Malaclemys terrapin pileata, 894 nucleotides. RefSeq lists it as uncharacterized. NCBI's taxonomy places the organism in Eukaryota, Metazoa, Chordata, Testudines, Emydidae. The transcript has 2 exons. The record is from RefSeq and is a predicted model, not a curated record.
GAAGCCAGCAGCUCGGCUCUUACAGUCUGAGCUGGGAGGAGCAGCUCAGCUGGAGCCCAGGUAGGAGAAGUGCCUGAAGCCGGUAGCACUAGGGCAGCUCGGCUCUUAAACAGAGCCGAAGAGUCAGGGAGCAGCAGCAGUCGCCAGAGCCUGCUCUAAGGUGGAUUACCCUGAGUGAGACACCGAAUUGGAGUGAUGUGGAACCUUGUAUCAAGUACCUGACCGAUAAGGGGAUGCAAAUUGAUGACAUGAAGUGUUUUGAUCAGUUCAGCAACCUGAAGAAGUUUACAGAAAGUUGCAACAGUGAUGAAGAGUUCAGUAAUUUGCUAGCACACCAGAAGUGGACCAAAUAUUUUGAGAAAUCCAAAAACAUUGAGUGUCAUUCAGAACUGUUAAAGAUUGCACAGUUUUUCUUUGCUAUUCCUUCUCACAAUGCAAAUGUAGAGCGAAUUUUUUCACUGAUGCAAAGCCAGUGGACAAAGGAAAGGACCAACUUGAAUGUUGAGUCGUUGAAAGGAAUUCUACUUGUACAGUACAACUUCAGACAAACUUCUUGUAAAGACUUUCAUGCCUUCUUAAAGAGCAAUCAACCACUGCUGAGAAAAAUGCGAUCUGCAGAGAAGUAUGCGUGGGCACAUGAGGAGAAAGAAAACUGAAGAACUGGUGAAAGGAAAGGACUCACUACAUAUAAAGAAUUACGUUUUAGAAUUAAAGAAUUAAAUAGCUCAAAAUGUCCGGGAUUUUACCCGGCAGGGAGGAGAACUGGGUGCUCCAAGGCAUCUGGGGAGCUGGGAAACAGAACAGUGUGAGCUGCGUGUCCUGACCGCUCCCAAAAACGGAGCGCUGGGGCAGAUCCUCCACUGAGCAGCUUCAUUAAAGUCAUGGGAGUCUAUA